AACUGCGACUGGGAUUGUGAUUGU
This 24-nucleotide non-coding RNA is filed under the name Arabidopsis thaliana (thale cress). Lineage: Eukaryota; Viridiplantae; Streptophyta; Magnoliopsida; Brassicales; Brassicaceae. The record is from RNAcentral.